UGCAUCGGCCGGGAAUCGAACCCGGGCCGCCGCGUGGCAGUUCUACCACUGAACCACCGAUGC
RNAcentral lists this transfer RNA (63 nucleotides) under Cordylochernes scorpioides. RNAcentral describes it as "tRNA-OTHER". Lineage: Eukaryota; Metazoa; Arthropoda; Arachnida; Pseudoscorpiones; Chernetidae. The record is from RNAcentral.